RNAcentral lists this long non-coding RNA (363 nucleotides) under Hordeum vulgare. RNAcentral describes it as "long non-coding RNA (HVUL_LNC012996)". Lineage: Eukaryota; Viridiplantae; Streptophyta; Magnoliopsida; Poales; Poaceae. The record is from RNAcentral.
GACUUGCUCGAGUACUGGAAGGCGUGGCCUGGGGGCUCAACUACUAGGAAACUUUGCCCCCCUAGAGCAAAAUUAGUGCUGACAAAUCUUCAUCCGACGCAAAAAUCAUCCCUAAAAGACAGAACGGCUGGAGAUGCUCUAACCUCUAUUCUAAAUAAAGCAAGUGCUUGGGCAGUUGGUUGGGCCCUUGCAGACAAAAAGUUGAAAGUUGUGUGUUUGAUCCUCAUCAGAAUGAAUUAUAUUUUUGCAAACCACCCUCAUCAGAAUGAAUUAUAUUUUUGCAAACCAACCCGUGAUCGAAUGAUUAGAGGGACAGUGGUAUCCCCAACCUGUCAGGGAUCAAGUCCUGAUGCUUGCAUUAUU